Mauremys reevesii (Reeves's turtle) is the source of this 573-nucleotide long non-coding RNA. RefSeq lists it as uncharacterized. NCBI's taxonomy places the organism in Eukaryota, Metazoa, Chordata, Testudines, Geoemydidae. The transcript is spliced from 4 exons. The record is from RefSeq and is a predicted model, not a curated record.
GCAAGUCUUUAUCUCAAGGUAUCUCUUAGGAGGACUUAAGACAGGAUGUGGUUCACUUACCUGAGCACUAGGAUGGAGCCUCGGAGUUUUUCUCCUUUCCUGCUAUUGAUUUUAGUAGAAAACAGACCUUCCCUGCUUACAGGAUACCAAUCCACGAACGAACCUUUCCUCUUAUCCCAUGACUGCUGUCGGAGAAUAACUCAGUUCUCGCUGUUUGUUUGGGUGCAGCAGAGUCAGAUACUUUAUUCUGUUUAGCAGCUACAACAGGGAGAGAGUGCACUAGGACAUAGGGUCUCCCCUUCCUAGACAGGUCUCUCAGCAGAACAGGAGUAGCGAGACACCUCAGCUACCUGGGCAGCAGCAACGGACACUACAUCUACAGCUUGAAGAGACUGCAGCUGUGGAAGUAACACUCCAGAGAUUAGACAGGUCAGAAGGACCAAAUUAGAUGGUACAGAGGGAAUUUGAACAGAAGUACAGCUAAAAGAAGAUGGAGAGCUGGCUACGAAGGAGAUCAUAUUUCUUGAGGGAUUCAGUGUACGCAUAUAAGAAUGGAUAUCAUUAUGAAAAGAG